AGUAAAACCUCAAUAAAU
RNAcentral lists this small nuclear RNA (18 nucleotides) under Arabidopsis thaliana (thale cress). Its description in RNAcentral is "snRNA_00688". Lineage: Eukaryota; Viridiplantae; Streptophyta; Magnoliopsida; Brassicales; Brassicaceae. The record is from RNAcentral.